Molecule: non-coding RNA, 4557 nt
Organism: Pelobates cultripes (western spadefoot toad)
Lineage: Eukaryota; Metazoa; Chordata; Amphibia; Anura; Pelobatidae
Source: the annotation of a GenBank genome assembly
AUAUGUUUAAGUUGUAGAAAAUGUUUUUGCUAUAGUGUAAAAGGAUCACUAUAGGGUCAGGAACACAAACAUGUAUUCCUAAACCCUAUAGUGUAAUACCCACCAUUUAGGUGGCUUGCCCCCUUAAAAGGAGUUAACUCACCUUAUUUCCAGGGCUGUGCAUGUCUGCCGGCACUGGCCCCACCCCCUUGGUGACAUCAUCUGAAUUGCCGAUUUUUAGCCAAUCUAAUGUUUUCCCAUGGGGAAAGCAUUGGAUUGGAUAAAAUCUGCAAGGGCGGGGCCAAACACAGUUUUGGCCAAUCAGCACCUCAUCGAAAUGCAUUGAAUCAGUGUUUGCAUAAAAAUGCUUGCAUAUAAUAAUUAUACUCUCCAGAACAACUACAUUAAGCUGUAGUUGUUCUGGUGACUAUAGUGUCCCUUUAAGCGUAAAUGUAAAGCAGAACUUGCAGCUCUUUGUAUUAUUAAUGGGAACCUAUAGUCCUGUAAAUAAGUUGUUUUUUCUGGACUAUAAGUUCCCUUAUGUUGCUGUGAUAUCUCUCCACCCCCAUUAUAGUGUUUUAAAAGAUUACUUGCCUAUUUUCCAGGGCUAAAACUCAUUGGCUGCAGCCAUUCACUCUGCCUCAAUCUUCGUCAGCAUGGCUGCUGAUUUUCCUCGAUUCGUCCAAUCUCAGCGACUAUAUCAGUGCACAGUAAAUUUCCACGCUCCUCCAAUCAAAUGCUACUUUGAGCAAUAUUUAAUUGGAGAACAGAGUUUGACACUGUUCUGGAGUCAGCAGUACUUUGUGUGGCUGUCAGGCAGAGACGGCUACUAGAGGUGUACUUAACAUUUUAAAUAUAAACAUUCGAAUUUCAACAAAACGGCAAUGUUAUACAUUGAUGGGUUGAAACGACAGGACCACUGCAUCCACUGCUUCCAGACCACUUCAUUCAGAUGAAGUAGUGGGCACCUUUAGUGGUCCCUAAAAGCUUAAAUAUUUUACAAUUUUAAAUUUAUUAUAUGAAUUCUGAUAGUUCCUUUUCAUUUAGCUGAGAUCGUUUUUACUUCUGAAGCUACAUAAUAUAGCAAACUUUAAAUGUUGGUGAAGCUUUUAGUUUAUGGUUUGUUUUUUAAACUUAAAAUAGUGUUUUUUUUGUAAGAACAUUUAAUAUGAACUUGCAUGACUUAUAUUCACAGAUUAGUUUUCUAUUUCAGAUUGUUGAUAUAAGUGGCUGUAUAGCUACAGUUUUCUUUCUUUUUUUUUUUUUCUUAUAAAAUUGGACACUCCUAAAACUAGCAGAUUGUGCCUGCUGAUAUUGCGUGAGUUAAACUUAAAUUUGUUUUGCCUGCCUUAUACGAAGUACCGGUCAUAAUACAAUUUUGAAAAUUUGUAUUGGGCAAAAAACCCAAUGAAAUUAUUUUUGUGUAAUCGGUAAUAAUCGAAGGCUUUUCUGGGUAUUUUAGUGGUGCACCCCAGGAACUGAAAAAGUUAGUCCGUCUAGGAAACAUAACCACUACAGAACACUGUAGUGGUUACAGUGCCAGAUGUCUCUUGGCUCCCAUACAAUGGCAAGUAGUUACAUCAUUAUUGAAGGGCUUAAUGUGUCCCUGGAUCCCCCAUGUGCCCCCUUCCUUUGAUGUUUCUAAAAGUAAAGUUUCCCCUCUGCAUUAGAUGUAUACUUUUCAUCCAUAUUUGGAUGUAAUUCAUUGCCAGAGAACACCAGUUAACAAUAUUGUUAAUAAAUUCUGCCUAAGCACAAGCAAAAAUGAUUUUCCUAAUAAGUAUUCCUAAUUCCUAAUAAGUAUCAAAACUGUGAAAGCUGUUUGGCUAUUAUGCUGUGGAUUGGGUUUUGACACCAUAAUCACUACAGAAUGCUGUUAAGGUUAUUGUGCUUAUACAAUCCCAUUUGAGCAUUCUUUAUUUUUGAUCUUGGUUUCUAUGUAAUAUUAUUGGUCCCUUUUUUGCAUGUUUAGCAUUUAAAACAGAUCAUACACAAAAGGUCUGGGCAGUAAGUUCACCUUAAAUAUUGUUGAGAAAAGGUUAGUAACUAGCUUGACAGAGAUAAUAAACGAAGUGUUGCUUGUGUUGUGUGGUAGCAGCAGUCCAUGGACACCAUAAGUGUAAUAUUUGCUGCCAUGAAAAUAGCACAGCAUUAAAAACUAUGCAUCUGCUGGCAAUUUUGCUUUGAAUUUUUAUUCUUUAUUAUGUGACACCAAAUAGUAUCUGAUGUACAUUUCAGGAGGAGCUCUACACUGACAGUUAUUUGGUUUGGAGGAUGUAUUGUCUAUAACAGUUGCCUGAUUACAGUGCAGCAAAUCAGUUCUUCAAUGGCUAAAAUGGACAGGUUUCAAGAAAAUCUGUGGCUAUUGGGGUCAACUUGUUAGCCAAUUUCACAAAAUGAUUGCCAAGUUACUAUUUUGAUGUUGUAUUUUUAAAGCUCACAUCGUAGGGUCAUUGAUCCAUUAUUGGUUCUUUGUGGGUGUCAAACCAGAUGUUUGGAUUCUGACACAUAAACCUAUUUUACAGUGACUGGUUUGAGGAUACGCAUGUGUCACUUUCAGUGUUAGUGAUUUUAUACUGCACAAUACAAUUUGCGGUUUCUUUUCUGGUAGGUUGUAUUAAACCAAGUGAGAUGCGGAAACUUUGUUUUUUAACAUGGUCAUUUAAAAAAAAUAAAAAAUAAAAGCAGAACAUUGAUACAGCUUUAUAUCUAUCUGCAUAUUGUGUCAAUACAAAGAGAACACAAGUAUAGCUUCUGAAUACAUUGCUUUGCAAAAUAUUGUGCUACAUUUACCCUUAGAUUUUUGGGAGCACUUACUAAAUAAUGACCAAAGAUACUGUGGUGGAUGCAGGUGAAAGAUCCAUAAACCAAAUUUCUUUAAAAAGAAUUUUCUUUGUUUAUUUGAUCAAUAUAUAUAUAUAUAUAUUCCUUGUUAUUGAUUGGUGCUAAAAAAUAACCUAUCCUGGGCUGUUUGUUUUAUAUAAAUCUUAUAUUGUUGAAUACUCUGCUUCUAUCUAAUGGCAAGUGUGUGGCCCUCAUGGCAACUUCAUGGGUGUUAAAGGGACACUAUAAGCAUCCAGGCCACUUUGAAGUGGUAAGGGUGUGGUGUCCCUGUCCUAUUAGCCAGGCAAUGUAAAACAUUGCCAGGUUAAGAAUGUCUCUUGUAUCUGUCUCCCAUACAGUCACUAAAGGCACUUUUUGGAAACUCUGUGAAACUACACUGGACAUCCUCACGAUUUGCAUGAGGACAUUCAACGACUUUAAAUCCCCCAGAGGAAAGCAUUAAUAGAAAUGCUUUUCUAUGUGGAUGGUCUAGUGAACGUGCGGCACUUGCCACACAUGUGCAUUAUGUUACCCCCAUUACGUUGCUGGAGAGAGGUAGGUGUUGAAACAGUUUAAACACUUACCUAUUUUUAACACGGGGGUGCAGACAAUAACUUUAGGGCAGAGGGGCACUAUAACGUUAAACAUACUGUUUUAUAUUCCUAAUGCUAUAUUCCUUUAAAGUAAUACAACACUUGCUCCCCCGGAGUCACACCUUCUUACCACCCUCCAUCCAAUUAUAUCGCCCCUGCUUGGGCUAGUUUGUCUAAUGAUGCAGACAUGCUUUGAUUGACAUCAUUCUGUUCCUGUACACCUUUAGUGAACGAUCUGUGGCAGAGAACAGCAGAACACCCUCUCUUGCUUUCCCUGACACUCUGUUGUUUGUAUAGGGGUCUGCACUGAAUCUUAAAAAUUGAUUGACCGUUUUGUUAGGGACAAUGUUAUGGAUUAUUUUAUUAUUUUUUUUAGUACCAUGUUUCAUUUCCUAGUACCAUGUUUGUUUCCUCCGUUAUAAUUCAAACUGAUAUAUAUACUAAUGCGUGUGUGUGUGUGUGUGUGUAUAUAUAUAUAUAUAUAUAUAUAUAUAUUAUAUACACACACACUAUGACAGGCAGACUUUAAAGCAGGGGUACCCAAAAGGUAGAUCCCCAGAUCUUGUAGAACUACAACUCCCAUAAUGAUUUGCAUGUCUUUAGACUGACCAAGCAUCAUGGAAGUGUGUGGGUUUUUUUUUGUUUUUUUUUUUUAUAUAUUUUUCACAGCAGUUUGAGAAGGAACAAGCAUGUUAACAUUGACAUAUAAUAGCUAUGAAACCAGAUGUCUAGAAAAAGAAUAUCUAAAAAAUGUAUUAUAAACAUGUAGAAGGUUCAAGAUAAAUGUAGAUACAUUUCUAUUUGAUAAAUAUUAACUAUUACAUUUUGAACAAAGUUACUAUCACUUUUACAAUAUAUUGGUGUAAUGCUGUUUUCUUAUUUCUUUAAAGUCUGUUUUACGCUUGAUUUGUGCCCAUUGAACAUGUUCCAUAGUUGCAUGUGUUAUUUGUAAGGAAAAAUACAAUUUGACGAAUUUCAAUACAUAAUUUGUAUGGAUAAAAAUUGUAUUUUCAGAAUUACAUUUUAUUUUUCCACAUACAAAUUAAGGAAAUAUGUCUUGUCAGCCUGACCUUGUAAUUAUUGCACACAUGUACAUGUGUUUCCAUUUUUAUGUUGGCAAAUCUAUUUUUUUAAGAAAAUUAGAAAUAAAAGUUUGAGUGUC